GGUAAGUCAAGCUUCUGUGCCUAUCCGUUUAUCCCGUUGGAUUUCACCGUGACGAACACAGAGCUCGAGCGAGCUAGCGCCAGCGCCGGCCAUCAUCCUCGCCGUCAAUUCCUUUGCGCCACCGCCCACCAACAACCCCUGUAACCUCACCAUGACGCCCUAAAGCCGACCGUUGCCCAGUUUUUCGCCGUCGAGCUCCGAAUCGCCGCCCUACCGGUCCGCCCGCCGCCACCACCAUCCGCCGGUGAGUUUCUUCGUGCCGGUCCUUUCCCUUUCAAUCGUCGGUCCUCAUAGAGUACCUAGGUCGUAUAGAUGCCGUAGGUUUCGCCGGAGCCCCUUUUUGUGCCGCCACCGAGCCUUGCGCCGGCCGGCCGCCGGCCAUGGUGCCGCCGCUCGUGGGGAGCACGGCACAGGCCACCUCCGGGAGGGCCGCCGCCACAUGUGGGGGAGUCUCGGCUUGGAGAUGCCCCCAGCCCGGCCGCGCCGCCGGGGAGGCGCCGCCGGCGAGCUCCCGCCCCCUGCGGCGUGCGCCCCUGUUUUGGCGCAAGGAGGAAGGAGAUAUGCGCCAGGGGGUUGUGAGGAGAAGAAGGAGAAGAAGAAAGGCCAGCCGCCGUUUUGGGCCGAGAGAGAGAUGCCGGCCCAGCUAAGCCCGCGCGGCAUAGAAGAAGAAAAGGAAAUAGGCCGGUCGUUGUGCUUGGGCCGGGAAUGCCGCGUCACGGAAGGAGAGGCCCAGGUGGAGGGGGAGAGAAAAAGAUGAGGGCCGACCGCUCGUCGUGGGCCAAGGGGAGGCGAUGGCCCAGCUGGUCGCGCGAGUAAAAGAGGAAGGUGGGCCGGCGGAGGAAAGAAAGGCAGUGGGCCAGAGUGAGCAGGCCGAUUGUCGAAGAAAGAAAAAGAAAAAGAAGAGGUGGGCCGGCGGGUGAAAGAGAGAACCGGUGGGCCGUUGAGCGUUGGGAAGGAACAAGCUGUGCGGCCCAGGUGAAGUUAGGGAAGAAAGAAAAAGUGGGCCGGCCGGGAUUGAGAAAGAGAGGAGAAGGGGGAGCCGGCCCAAAGAGAAGGCUGCCGCAAAAAAAAAAAAAGCCACGCGCCACGGGUUAAAGAUUGACGGGCCACCUUUUGGCCCGAGGAAGGGUGCCGGUUGUGGGCCCCACUUGUCAGAGAAGAAGAAAGGGAGAAAAUAGGAGACCGGAUGGGCCCUAGGUGGAAGUGAUGGUGGGUAGAAGCAAGUUGGGUGAGAAAGUUUGGGCCGGGGGUUUUAAGUAAACCUUAGGUUUUCCUUUAUUAGAUAAAUAGAUUAAAGGCUGUUUUCACCAUUUAAUUCACAUGAAAUUCUAGAAGUGCCCAAAGUUAGUGAAACCAAUUUUAUUAGGAUUGCUUUAUUUUCCUUUAUGCAUUAAAAUUCUUAAACCCUAGGAAAAAUAAUAAAAAUUUAGGUAUUUAUUUAAUGCCUUUUUAUGUAAGGUAUUUAAAUAAAUGCUUAAACUUUAUUAAAUGUAUAAAACUUGAAAAUGCUUUAUUAUCCACAAAUUAUUAUUAAUUCAUAGGAAUUAGGUUUUUGAGAUUAGAAAAUUAUUAUAAUGCUUUUAAAAAUAAAAGAAGAGGUCUAAGGUAGGUUUAGUAAAGGAAAUAAAAAUGGUGGGCUAAUCUUUAGGGUUUUUGUGUGUUGGCUUGCAACUUUAUCAUGAUAAAUUGUAUAGUCCUUGUUGGCUUGCAACUUUAUCAUGAAGGAAAGUUGUAUAAUCUUGUAUUUAAAAGUUUUGCAUCUCUAACUCUUGCAUAUACUGAAUCGUAGACGUCACAACUCCUGAAGUGGAAUUCAUGGAAUUCAACCGGAGGUGGACAGCAUUCGCGAAAUGUGGAGUGCCUCUUUUAAUGAACAAGUUUUCCGAAGAACUAACCUUGUUGAUCCCAGGCAAGCCCCGGUGCAUUUAUACCUAUCUAUUUUAGAGUCGUCAUUUCAUGUGACUAGUUAUAGGUUAUUUGUUUAUUGUAUGCACUAAGUCUAGGAGUUGGAUGAAACCUAUUCUUGUGUAUGAUCCUGCCUUGAUUUAAGGACAUCUUUGCCACUUGUUCAAACCUUAGAAACUACCCAAGUCUAGAAUUGCUUACUUGCUUACCUGCUUGGUUUACCAACCUUAAGGCAAACACUUAAGUCAUACAUGUUGCUUAUGAAAGAUAGUUUGGAACAUGGAACCAGACAGAAGCUAGAGAUGUAGUUCUGUCUGCUAGAUUAAUCUGGUUAAGGACCGAUCCGUGUCUUAACCAUUGAUCAAGUGAUAACCUCUGAUCACUUACUGGGUAUGGGACCAGUAAAGCCCAGUAGAUUAGUAAAUUCUAUGAUCAGGAAUGCUUCGUACCCGCAUUUGACGUGCUGGAGAUUGGCAGGGGUGUAGCCUGGAACUCACAUGGAGAUCAGGCCAGACGUGGGGUCCCAUGUGGGGGUGCAUCCCUGGGUCCGGGUAGUUGUAUUCCUAAUCAUUAACUUUGCUAAUCGAGAGGUUGUGAGAUACGACCGGAACAGUCGUAUAAUGCUGGUGAUCAGGGUACUCUCCUGCAGGAUGUAAUUAGAUCCGGAUCGUCGCAAUUCUCGGUUAUGAAUGCACUUGAUCGCUGUUGAGCAUCGUAGUAUAAACUCAUGCAAUAUAAAAUCUCCUGUUGACAAGUACUGUAUGAUUUAACCGCUGUGAUUGCUUUUACUUCUGUUAUCAUCUAGAAUGGUUAGGUAAUGACUUAACUCAAAUAAAAGAUAAAACUAAGGCCUCACUUAUAGUAAGCUUUUUCGGCAAAAUUGUGUCAACCAAGCACACCCAAAGGCUGACAUGCAUUCCAAAGAAAAAUAUUAUAUUGGUUAGUCGGGUAAGACUUGCUGAGUACUUCGUACUCAGGGGAUCCCUUGUUGUUGUUUUCAGAAAGCCAGCAGGGACCCACCGAAGAGGAAGCCCCGAAGACGUAGGGUAUCUUAUGAGUCUCAUGAUACUCUAGAAUAAAACUUAAAUGUUUAUUUUUAAAUUCUUAAGAACCACGCUGACCUGCAUGAUUAAGUUGUUUCAAACUAUGGUUGUAAUAUAUCGUACCUUUGUUAUGUCUUUAAA
Molecule: long non-coding RNA, 3089 nt
Filed under: Setaria viridis
Lineage: Eukaryota; Viridiplantae; Streptophyta; Magnoliopsida; Poales; Poaceae
Description: long non-coding RNA (SVIR_LNC002816)
Source: RNAcentral